Molecule: ribosomal RNA, 292 nt
Filed under: uncultured bacterium
Lineage: Bacteria
Description: partial 16S ribosomal RNA
Rfam family: Bacterial small subunit ribosomal RNA
Source: RNAcentral
GUGUCAGCCGCCGCGGUAAGACGUAGGGGACGAGCGUUGUCCGGAUUCAUUGGGCGUAAAGCGCGCGCAGGCGGCCGUGUAAGUCGGAUGUGAAAUGCCGGGGCUCAACCCCGGAACUGCAUCCGAUACUGCACGGCUAGAGGUAGGUAGGGGAGAUCGGAAUUCCUGGUGUAGCGGUGAAAUGCGCAGAUAUCAGGAGGAACACCGGUGGCGAAGGCGGAUCUCUGGGCCUUACCUGACGCUCAUGCGCGAAAGCUAGGGGAGCGAACAGGAUUAGAUACCCCCGUAGUCC